GGAAUACGAUAUGUAGCGGUGAAAUGCAUAGAUAUAUCGUAGAACACCGAUUGCGAAGGCAGCUUACUAAGCCAAUAUUGACGCUGAUGGACGAAAGCGUGGGGAGCGAACAGGAUUAGAUACCCUGGUAGUCCACGCCGUAAACGAUGAUUACUCGUUGUGCGCGAUACACAGUGCGCGACUGAGCGAAAGCAUUAAGUAAUCCACCUGGGGAGUACGUUGGCAACAAUGAAACUCAAAGGAAUUGACGGGGGCCCGCACAAGCGGAGGAACAUGUGGUUUAAUUCGAUGAUACGCGAGGAACCUUACCUGGGCUUAAAUGCAGUUUGACCGAUCUGGAAACGGAUCUUCUCUUCGGAGCAAAUUACAAGGUGCUGCAUGGUUGUCGUCAGCUCGUGCCGUGAGGUGUCGGGUUAAGUCCCAUAACGAGCGCAACCCCUAUCGUUAGUUGCUAGCAGGUAAUGCUGAGGACUCUAGCGAGACUGCCACCGUAAGGUGAGAGGAAGGUGGGGAUGACGUCAAAUCAGCACGGCCCUUACGUCCAGGGCUACACACGUGUUACAAUGGCCGAUACAAAGGGCAGCUACCUGGUGACAGGAUGCUAAUCUCAAAAGUCGGUCUCAGUUCGGAUCGGAGUCUGCAACACGACUCCGUGAAGUUGGAUUCGCUAGUAAUCGUAUAUCAGCAAUGAUACGGUGAAUACGUUCCCGGGCCUUGUACACACCGCCC
Molecule: ribosomal RNA, 729 nt
Filed under: uncultured bacterium
Lineage: Bacteria
Description: bacterial SSU rRNA
Rfam family: Bacterial small subunit ribosomal RNA
Source: RNAcentral